AUGAGAUUUAAUUUGGCUGCGCUCCGCCUCUUCCUCGAGGAGCAUGUGCAGUGCGGUGGAGCGGCGGCUCGUGCGCCAUGUGGCUCCAGUCAGAAGAUGGGCGCCGACACCUGCAGCUUGUGCACAGUGGCGACUCCACGCAUCUCCUGCGCCCCGCAACCCUCUCCUUCCAGGCACAGCAGGAGCAAGGAUGCCGAGGCGGUUCAGUCGCGAGGAAGAGUAGGAAGAUCAGGCAGAGAGGGUUUCACAUACCUCUUCUACACCGACAAGUAUUUGCUUUCCAGGAUUGCCAUGUCUGUUGGCUACUGCAGGGAGCUCGGGUGCCGGCAAAGGGGAAGGAGCGGAGGUGAUCGUGAACAAAGACGUCAUGGCUCACAUACAUCUCCUUCACCUCCUUGUUUCGGUGCUCCACCUCAUAGUUUACUCUGUAUGAUGCAUCCAGGGCUCAGGUUAAGGAUUUUUCUAUUUGCCGCAUCUGGGUAUCAUUUACUAAAUUGCUCACUUUUCUUAAAUGCUGAUAUGGAAUUAACCAUUAGUUACAGCUCUGUUUGGUUUUGA
RNAcentral lists this ribosomal RNA (558 nucleotides) under Triticum aestivum (bread wheat). Its description in RNAcentral is "partial small subunit ribosomal RNA". Lineage: Eukaryota; Viridiplantae; Streptophyta; Magnoliopsida; Poales; Poaceae. The record is from RNAcentral.